ACAACAACAAAACAUCGUUCGAUGUGCCCAGGGCACUGUUGCGGCGCUGCUGAUACUAAUCAAAUCAGACAGUUCAGUUCACUACGUUCUCGACGUAUGUUCAUUAGAGCAAACAAUGAAAGAUGAAGAUAGUGCGCGAUGAUAAUUUUUAUUUAUUGUAGUGUAAUAAUGAUCGUAUUGUAAAAUAGCAACAAAUAAGUGCAUCAUACACAAAAACACGCACACCACGUUUGAUAUAGCUCCAACAAGAAUAGAAACAUUUUGAUGAACCCCAUGUAUAAAUCUUCCCUUUGUAAAUAAAAGAAAGAAAGCAGCGAGACAAAAAAAAAACAACUACGAGCCAGCAGAAGCAUUGACAAAAGCCAAGCAUAACCGUCGUCUACGUUCGCAGCGGCAUCAGCACAAGUGCAAGAAAAUUUCUACAUCACAAUAAAAACACCAUUUCUCGGAACAAUACAACACAGCGAUAAUUUUGGUUGAUUUCCAAGAGGGGGAUCCAAACGCUGCGACAAGACACUGACACAGAAAAAACACAACACCACCCCUCAGAUUUUGAGAUCGAGUCGGACCACUUACGACUGGGCGGCAUAGAAUUGUGUCAAUAUUCGGAAGGAAUUUUAUGAGUAGGAGUACCAUCGUCGUUGACGUCGUCGGUGUCGCCUCAUCAGCCACUCAUCCAUCCCCAAAAGCACACACGGAUGAAAAAAAAAACAAACAUUUGCCGAGAUUUUCAAAUAAAAAAAUCGAAAAGUAACCAUAAAUUGUGAAUUAAGAAAAAGAGGCGUAUUACCAUUUAGCUGUAUUUCUUAAGAUAGACAAUUAAAUUACAUAUUAGAGAGAGCGCGAGAGAAAAUAUACCACGAUCCUGAAUAGAAGAGGGAGAGAGAGAGAGAGAGAGAGAGAGAGAUUCUCUUUGCCUUGCCCCAUUGGAGUUUCUCAACGAAAAGCAUAAAAAGUUACCGCACAGCGAACAAAAUUGUUGCCAACAGCAGCAGUUAUGGGUGGCAAUAGCACAGCUGCUUUUAGCAUUGGCGGCUAUAUGGGUGGCAGUGGCGGUAGUGGUGGCAGUGCUGGUGGCGCUGUUGGCGGUGCAUCCGAUCUUGUGCCCAGUAGCAGUAUGUUAGGCAGCGGUUCCUCAUUUACACCAGGUUUACCCUAUUCGUGUGGCAUAAGCUGGGAUGAGUUUUCCGAGCGUCAUGCACGUGUUGCUGCAGCAGAUUUUGCCAAAGCCUGUAUCAGUUACAUAAAUGGCGGUUUAUCGCCCGAAGAGGCCCGUAAUUUAACCUAUAGAAAUUUUGGUGAAAAAUUUAUCGAUUCAUUUGCCAUACACUAUGAAAAGGAAUUUUUGCGAAGGAGAAGUAAUUUAAAGGUUGGGAAUGGUGUACUAGAAGAAACUGAAUAUACAGGGGAGGAGCAACCGAAAAUCUUUCCAAAAACAUUCUUCCGCAGGCUAUCGUUUAAAGGACUACGAAAGGGCAAGAAUUUUCUAUUCUUGCAGACGCUCUUUCACAAAAGUUCAGACGAGGAAGGCUCAAGUAAACAUAAUAAGAAAUUUGCCAAAAUUGUUGUAGAAUGCCAAAAAGAUGGCAUUGUCAAUAAUCUAACACCAGAGAGCUUAGAUCAACCGACUGGUUCGCAAAAAUGGGAAAAAUGUCGCUUGUGUUUGGUGAAAGCCGUGGGAGGUUAUAUGUUGGAGUUCUAUAUGCCACCCAAAGCUGCCAAGCCGCGUUGUGGUGUUUUUUGUUUCCUAAUUUCGGAGGCUCGCGAGACAACAGCCUUAGAAAUGCCCGAUCGAGAGAAUACGUUUGUAUUAAAGGCCGAUAAUAAUAUGGAAUAUGUAAUUGAGGCCCAAAGUGCCGAGGAUAUGCGCAGUUGGUUAAGCACUAUUCGGCAUUGUAUGCGUACACCGCCCACACAACAGCCCACAACGGAUACAGAAGUUAUGGCUGCCGCCAUGCAAGCAUCACCCAUCAUCAUAAAUCCCAAUACGGCAACAGGGACAACAGGUAGUUUAUUGAAUGCAGUACAAAAUCCACAGUAUCACCAACAGAAUGCCAUAGGCUCAAAUGGUAACGUAGCACCAAGUAGUUCACUUUCGGAAAAUGCUCUCUCUUCAUUAGCGGCGGCUGGUGGUGCGGGUGGCAUAGCAGCCGAUUCGGCCACAGAUAUUGCCGCAUGUACAGCAUCUAAUGCCAUAUACAAUACAAGCGAUGUCCCGCAUAGGCGAGGUGAACAACGUCUCUCUUCCUCCAGUAAUAUAGAACCUGGUGACGGUUUUCAAGAUCCUGAUGCUGAUGUCAAUGUAGCCGAUAUAAGCAAUGAAAUGCGUCAAUAUCCUUGGUUCCAUGGUACACUGCCCAGAUCGGAUGCGGCUCGUAUGGUUUUACAGAACGAAACUCAAGGUCAUGGUUUCUUCCUAGUGCGUCAGAGUGAGACGCGCAAAGGUGAAUUUGUGCUCACCUUUAAUUUUAAUGGCCGUGCCAAACAUUUGCGGAUGACUUUGUCCGAUAAGGGCCAGUGUCGUGUGCAACAUUUAUGGUUUCCUUCAAUACAGGAGAUGUUGGAACAUUUCCGUCAUAGUCCUAUACCAUUGGAAUCGGGUGGGACGUCAGAUGUUACGCUAACCGAAUAUAUACACAAUCAAGGAGUUCCUUAUAAUUUCCAUGGCACCGUGGUGGUGGGUGGUGAUUUGAACAACACAACAACAACAACCUUAGAAAAUAGUGUUGGCGUUGUAAAUGCAACAUUACCACAACAAACGCAACAACAGCAAGUACAGCAGCAGCAACAAAUGCAACAACAACAGACGCAACAACAGCAAGAUCCAUCACCGAGACAUUCACAAGAUGUGAUUUCCAUGAAAUGUAGUGUACGUUUAAAAACAAACGAAAUGGAUUUGGCUUUAUUAUUGGCAGCCGGUAUGGCCACGCGUCAUUUCCAUCAACAACACCAGCAGCAUCAUAAUCAUCAUCAUCAGCAAUCAACGGUAACAGCACUAACCUCCUCUCAACAAAGCAACAGCAAUGUCAUAGAAGCAAACGCCGCCUCCGCCGCAGUAGCAUCAGCAGCAGCAGCAACCGCCGUAACGCAUUUGAACAACAAUAAUACAGCAGCAGCUGUAGCGACAACAACAAUCCUCACGAAUAAUGCAACAGCACAAAAUCUGAAUCAUCAAUUCAGUGAUGCCACUGAGAGCUUGCCAUUUGAUCACACUCUGGUAAUGGGGGCCGUUGUAUCGUUACCACCCGAAAAUAUAAGAGAUUCAGCAUCGCCCACACAACUGGUAGGAGGUAUGUCAAAUGCUGCCGUAGCUGCCGCAGCCGAUUUAAAUCAGUAUUUACGAGCUUCAAGUGUAUCGCUACAAUCCCAAAAUACUAUCACCGGCGGCACAGGUGGUGGUGGUGGUGGUGGUUCCUCUGGAAGUGGGGGCAGUGUGGGUGGUGUUGUCCAUUUGGCACAACCGCAACAGCAGACACAGCCACGUCAAUAUCAACAGCAUGCAACAUCAUACAAUGAUACGAAUACGCCACGAGCUGUGGAUAAUCAAUAUAGCUUUGUUUGAAUUAGCCAAAAUCAUUGUCGUUGUCCUCCUACUCCACUUACCCUCCAAUCAUCAAAUAGUGGUGUCAUAUCGUCGUGCAUUGUUGUGAAUGCGAGUAAACUGUCUUCAUAAAUAUAAUUUUCAGUGUGGCAAUGUGGUGAUUUUGUUUUUGAAUUUUCUUUCUGUAUAAAGCCUUCGUCUUCAAACUUCCUCUAUAUAUAUAUUAUGAGACUACUGCAAACCAAAAACAACAACCCUACUUACCCAUUGCAACAUUACAAAAAACUACAUUUGAUGUAUAUGAUAUUGUAAUUUUUAUAAAUAUAAUUUUAUAUGGUUCUGUCAACGAA
Molecule: RNA transcript, 3891 nt
Organism: Stomoxys calcitrans (stable fly)
Lineage: Eukaryota; Metazoa; Arthropoda; Insecta; Diptera; Muscidae
Gene: Lnk
Gene name: SH2B adapter protein 2
Exons: 7
Source: RefSeq, a predicted model, not a curated record